Molecule: ribosomal RNA, 109 nt
Filed under: Alkalihalobacterium chitinilyticum
Lineage: Bacteria; Bacillati; Bacillota; Bacilli; Caryophanales; Bacillaceae
Description: partial 16S ribosomal RNA
Rfam family: Bacterial small subunit ribosomal RNA
Source: RNAcentral
UUUAUGGAGAGUUUGAUCCUGGCUCAGGACGAACGCUGGCGGCGUGCCUAAUACAUGCAAGUCGAGCGGACCUUAUAAGAGCUUGCUCUUAUAAGGUUAGCGGCGGACG